Molecule: long non-coding RNA, 229 nt
Filed under: Chinchilla lanigera (long-tailed chinchilla)
Lineage: Eukaryota; Metazoa; Chordata; Mammalia; Rodentia; Chinchillidae
Description: lncRNA (ENSCLAG00000023602.1)
Source: RNAcentral
UCUUUACAAAAGCACAACAUCUUGCCCCGGUGUUCACAGCAUUUCCAAGCUCUCCACCGCCCAGCCACAGCCUCUCCAGCCUGCUCCUCCUCAAAUGUCCCUCUCGGCUCCCAGCACCUCUGGGCGGCGCACCGCGCUACUCCGCAGGCACUGAUGUCGGAGCACAGCGUUUGGCACUUGGUUAUCUGGCCCGCAGGAUGACGGUUUAAAAACUGAACAAACAUCCCAA